This 520-nucleotide ribosomal RNA is filed under the name uncultured Glomus. RNAcentral describes it as "SSU rRNA". It matches the Rfam family "Eukaryotic small subunit ribosomal RNA", at positions 569 to 1090 of the family's 1831-position model. Lineage: Eukaryota; Fungi; Glomeromycota; Glomeromycetes; Glomerales; Glomeraceae. The record is from RNAcentral.
AGCAGCCGCGGUAAUUCCAGCUCCAAUAGCGUAUAUUAAAGUUGUUGCAGUUAAAAGCUCGUAGUUGAAUUUCGGGGUUAGUAGGUUGGUCAUGCCUCUGGUAUGUACUGGUCUCACUGAUUCCUCCUUCCUGAUGAACCGUAAUGCCAUUAAUUUGGUGUUGCGGGGAAUUUGGACUGUUACUUUGAAAAAAUUAGAGUGUUAAAGCAAGCUAACGCUUGAAUACAUUAGCAUGGAAUAAUGAAAUAGGACGUUCGAUCCUAUUUUGUUGGUUUCUAGGAUUGACGUAAUGAUUAAUAGGGAUAGUUGGGGGCAUUAGUAUUCAAUUGUCAGAGGUGAAAUUCUUGGAUUUAUUGAAGACUAACUACUGCGAAAAGCAUUUGCCAAGGAUGUUUUCAUUAAUCAAGAACGAAAGUUAGGGGAUCGAAGACGAUCAGAUACCGUCGUAGUCUUAACCAUAAAACUAUGCCGACUAGGGAUCGGAUGAUGUUAAUUUUUUAAUGACUCAUUCGGCGCCUUA